GGUUAAGCGACUAAGCGUACACGGUGGAUGCCCUGGCAGUCAGAGGCGAUGAAGGACGUGCUAAUCUGCGAAAAGCGUCGGUAAGGUGAUAUGAACCGUUAUAACCGGCGAUGUCCGAAUGGGGAAACCCAGUGUGAUUCGUCACACUAUCGUUAACUGAAUACAUAGGUUAACGAGGCGAACCGGGGGAACUGAAACAUCUAAGUACCCCGAGGAAAAGAAAUCAACCGAGAUUCCCCCAGUAGCGGCGAGCGAACGGGGAGCAGCCCAGAGUCUGAAUCAGCUUGUGUGUUAGUGGAACGGUCUGGAAAGUCCGACGGUACAGGGUGAUAGUCCCGUACACCAAAAUGCACAGGCUGUGAACUCGAAGAGUAGGGCGGGACACGUGGUAUCCUGUCUGAAUAUGGGGGGACCAUCCUCCAAGGCUAAAUACUCCUGACUGACCGAUAGUGAACCAGUACCGUGAGGGAAAGGCGAAAAGAACCCCGGCGAGGGGAGUGAAAAAGAACCUGAAACCGUGUACGUACAAGCAGUGGGAGCACCUUCGGGUGUGACUGCGUACCUUUUGUAUAAUGGGUCAGCGACUUAUAUUCUGUAGCAAGGUUAACCGUAUAGGGGAGCCGCAGGGAAACCGAGUCUUAACUGGGCGUUAAGUUGCAGGGUAUAGACCCGAAACCCGGUGAUCUAGCCAUGGGCAGGUUGAAGGUUGGGUAACACUAACUGGAGGACCGAACCGACUAAUGUUGAAAAAUUAGCGGAUGACUUGUGGCUGGGGGUGAAAGGCCAAUCAAACCGGGAGAUAGCUGGUUCUCCCCGAAAGCUAUUUAGGUAGCGCCUCGUGAACUCAUCUUCGGGGGUAGAGCACUGUUUCGGCUAGGGGGUCAUCCCGACUUACCAACCCGAUGCAAACUACGAAUACCGAAGAAUGUUAUCACGGGAGACACACGGCGGGUGCUAACGUCCGUCGUGAAGAGGGAAACAACCCAGACCGCCAGCUAAGGUCCCAAAGUCAUGGUUAAGUGGGAAACGAUGUGGGAAGGCACAGACAGCCAGGAUGUUGGCUUAGAAGCAGCCAUCAUUUAAAGAAAGCGUAAUAGCUCACUGGUCGAGUCGGCCUGCGCGGAAGAUGUAACGGGGCUAAACCAUGCACCGAAGCUGCGGCAGCGACACUAUGUGUUGUUGGGUAGGGGAGCGUUCUGUAAGCCUGCGAAGGUGACCUGUGAGGGUUGCUGGAGGUAUCAGAAGUGCGAAUGCUGACAUAAGUAACGAUAAAGCGGGUGAAAAGCCCGCUCGCCGGAAGACCAAGGGUUCCUGUCCAACGUUAAUCGGGGCAGGGUGAGUCGACCCCUAAGGCGAGGCCGAAAGGCGUAGUCGAUGGGAAACAGGUUAAUAUUCCUGUACUUGGUGUUACUGCGAAGGGGGGACGGAGAAGGCUAUGUUAGCCGGGCGACGGUUGUCCCGGUUUAAGCAUGUAGGCUGGUUAUCCAGGCAAAUCCGGAUAAUCAAGGCUGAGGUGUGAUGACGAGGCACUACGGUGCUGAAGUAACAAAUGCCCUGCUUCCAGGAAAAGCCUCUAAGCAUCAGGUAACAUCAAAUCGUACCCCAAACCGACACAGGUGGUCAGGUAGAGAAUACCAAGGCGCUUGAGAGAACUCGGGUGAAGGAACUAGGCAAAAUGGUGCCGUAACUUCGGGAGAAGGCACGCUGGUGUGUAGGUGAAGUCCCUGCGGAUGGAGCUGAGACCAGUCGAAGAUACCAGCUGGCUGCAACUGUUUAUUAAAAACACAGCACUGUGCAAACACGAAAGUGGACGUAUACGGUGUGACGCCUGCCCGGUGCCGGAAGGUUAAUUGAUGGGGUUAUCCGUAAGGAGAAGCUCUUGAUCGAAGCCCCGGUAAACGGCGGCCGUAACUAUAACGGUCCUAAGGUAGCGAAAUUCCUUGUCGGGUAAGUUCCGACCUGCACGAAUGGCGUAAUGAUGGCCAGGCUGUCUCCACCCGAGACUCAGUGAAAUUGAACUCGCUGUGAAGAUGCAGUGUACCCGCGGCAAGACGGAAAGACCCCGUGAACCUUUACUAUAGCUUGACACUGAACAUUGAGCCUUGAUGUGUAGGAUAGGUGGGAGGCUUUGAAGCGUGGACGCCAGUCUGCGUGGAGCCAACCUUGAAAUACCACCCUUUAAUGUUUGAUGUUCUAACGUUGGCCCCUUACCGGGGUUGCGGACAGUGUCUGGUGGGUAGUUUGACUGGGGCGGUCUCCUCCCAAAGCGUAACGGAGGAGCACGAAGGUUAGCUAAUCCUGGUCGGACAUCAGGAGGUUAGUGCAAUGGCAUAAGCUAGCUUGACUGCGAGCGUGACGGCGCGAGCAGGUGCGAAAGCAGGUCAUAGUGAUCCGGUGGUUCUGAAUGGAAGGGCCAUCGCUCAACGGAUAAAAGGUACUCCGGGGAUAACAGGCUGAUACCGCCCAAGAGUUCAUAUCGACGGCGGUGUUUGGCACCUCGAUGUCGGCUCAUCACAUCCUGGGGCUGAAGUAGGUCCCAAGGGUAUGGCUGUUCGCCAUUUAAAGUGGUACGCGAGCUGGGUUUAGAACGUCGUGAGACAGUUCGGUCCCUAUCUGCCGUGGGCGCUGGAGAAUUGAGGGGGGCUGCUCCUAGUACGAGAGGACCGGAGUGGACGCAUCACUGGUGUUCGGGUUGUCAUGCCAAUGGCACUGCCCGGUAGCUAAAUGCGGAAGAGAUAAGUGCUGAAAGCAUCUAAGCACGAAACUUGCCCCGAGAUGAGUUCUCCCUGAGACUUUAAGUCUCCUGAAGGAACGUUAAAGACGAUGACGUUGAUAGGCCGGGUGUGUAAGCGCAGCGAUGCGUUGAGCUAACCGGUACUAAUGAACCGUGAGGCUUAACCUUAC
RNAcentral lists this ribosomal RNA (2904 nucleotides) under Klebsiella pneumoniae RYC492. Its description in RNAcentral is "bacterial LSU rRNA". It matches the Rfam family "Bacterial large subunit ribosomal RNA". Lineage: Bacteria; Pseudomonadati; Pseudomonadota; Gammaproteobacteria; Enterobacterales; Enterobacteriaceae. The record is from RNAcentral.